UACGUAGGGUGCAAGCGUUAUCCGGAAUCACUGGGCGUAAAGCGUGCGUAGGCGGGAAUUUAAGUGAGAUGUUAAAUCGUGUGGCUCAACCAUAUCGAUGCAUCUCAUACUGGGUUCCUAGAGGAAGGCAGAGGCAAGUGGAAUUUGUAGUGUAGCAGUGAAAUGCGUAGAUAUUACAAGGAACACCAAUGGCGAAGGCAGCUCGCUGGGACGUGACUGACGCUGAGACGCGAAAGCGUGGGGAGCAAACAGG
RNAcentral lists this ribosomal RNA (253 nucleotides) under uncultured bacterium. RNAcentral's name for it is "partial 16S ribosomal RNA". It matches the Rfam family "Bacterial small subunit ribosomal RNA", at positions 524 to 776 of the family's 1533-position model. The record is from RNAcentral.